GACGAACGCUGGCGGCGUGCUUAACACAUGCAAGUCGAACGGAAAGGCCCUGCUUUUGUGGGGUGCUCGGGUGGCGAACGGGUGAGUAACACGUGAGUAACCUGCCCUUGACUUUGGUAUAACUUCAGGAAACUGGGUCUAAUACCGGAUAUGAGCUCCUGCUGCAUGGUGGGGGUUGGAAAGCUUCGGCGGUUGGGGAUGGACUCGCGGCUUAUCAGCUUGUUGGUGGGGUAGUGGCUUACCAAGGCUUUGACGGGUAGCCGGCCUGAGAGGGUGACCGGGCAAAUUGGGACUGAGAUACGGCACAGAAUAGAACGGGAGGAAGAAGUGGGGAAUAGUGAAGAAUGGGAGGAAGCGUGAUGCAGAAACGCAGCGUGCGGGAUGAAGGACUUCGGGUUGUAAAACGCUUUAGCCUGUGACGAAGCGUGAGUGACGGUAAUGGGUAAAGAAGCACCGGCUAACUACGUG
RNAcentral lists this ribosomal RNA (468 nucleotides) under uncultured bacterium. RNAcentral describes it as "partial 16S ribosomal RNA". It matches the Rfam family "Bacterial small subunit ribosomal RNA", at positions 28 to 507 of the family's 1533-position model. The record is from RNAcentral.